AACGAACGCUGGCGGCGCGCCUAAUACAUGCAAGUCGAGCGAGAAGACGUAGCAAUACGUUUGUAAAGCGGCGAACGGGUGAGGAAUACAUGGGUAACCUACCCUCGAGUGGGGAAGUAACUAGCCGAAGGUUAGCUAAUACCGCGUACGCUCCUUGGACUUCGGUUCAGGGAGGAAAGCGAUACCGUGGGUAUCGCGCUCUUGGAUGGGCUCAUGUCCUAUCAGCUUGUUGGUGAGGUAACGGCUCACCAAGGCUUCGACGGGUAGCUGGUCUGAGAGGACGAUCAGCCACACUGGCACUGCGACACGGGCCAGACUCCUACGGGAGGCAGCAGUAAGGAAUAUUGCGCAAUGGGCG
RNAcentral lists this ribosomal RNA (358 nucleotides) under uncultured bacterium. Its description in RNAcentral is "bacterial SSU rRNA". It matches the Rfam family "Bacterial small subunit ribosomal RNA", at positions 29 to 377 of the family's 1533-position model. The record is from RNAcentral.